This 253-nucleotide ribosomal RNA is filed under the name uncultured bacterium. RNAcentral describes it as "partial 16S ribosomal RNA". It matches the Rfam family "Bacterial small subunit ribosomal RNA", at positions 524 to 776 of the family's 1533-position model. The record is from RNAcentral.
UACGAAGGGGGCUAGCGUUGCUCGGAAUUACUGGGCGUAAAGCGCACGUAGGCGGGUCGUUAAGUCAGGGGUGAAAUCCCGGAGCUCAACUCCGGAACUGCCUUGGAUACUGGCGACCUAGAGGUCGGAAGAGGUUAGUGGAAAUCCCAGUGUAGAGGUGAAAUUCGUAGAUAUUGGGAAGAACACCAGUGGCGAAGGCGGCUAACUGGUCCGAUACUGACGCUGAGGUGCGAAAGCGUGGGGAGCAAACAGG